This 467-nucleotide ribosomal RNA is filed under the name uncultured bacterium. Its description in RNAcentral is "partial 16S ribosomal RNA". It matches the Rfam family "Bacterial small subunit ribosomal RNA", at positions 28 to 507 of the family's 1533-position model. The record is from RNAcentral.
GAUGAACGCUGGCGGCGUGCUUAACACAUGCAAGUCGAACGGAAAGGCCGAAGCUUGCUUCGGUACUCGAGUGGCGAACGGGUGAGUAACACGUGGGUGAUCUGCCCUGUACUUCGGGAUAAGCUUGGGAAACUGGGUCUAAUACCGGAUAUGACAAUCUCUUGGAUGGGGUUGUGGAAAACUUUUGCGGUAUGGGAUGAGCUCGCGGCCUAUCAGCUUGUUGGUGGGGUAAUGGCCUACCAAGGCGUCGACGGGUAGCCGGCCUGAGAGGGUGUACGGCCACAUUGGGACUGAGAUACGGCCCAGACUCCUACGGGAGGCAGCAGUGGGGAAUAUUGCACAAUGGGCGCAAGCCUGAUGCAGCGACGCCGCGUGGGGGAUGACGGCCUUCGGGUUGUAAACUCCUUUCGCAACCGACGAAGCUUUUUGUGACGGUAGGUUGAGAAGAAGCACCGGCUAACUACGUG